GACGUAGGAGGCGAGCGUUGUCCGGAUUUACUGGGCGUAAAGCGCGCGCAGGCGGUCGCGCAGGUCAUCUGUGAAAGCCCCCGGCUCAACCGGGCGGAUGCGGGUGAAACCGCGCGACUUGAGGGUGGGAGAGGUCGGUGGAAUUCCCGGUGUAGUGGUGAAAUGCGUAGAUAUCGGGAGGAACACCAGCGGCGAAGGCGGCGCUCUGGGCCGGUACUGACACUGAGGCGCGACAGCGUGGGGAGCAAACAGG
RNAcentral lists this ribosomal RNA (253 nucleotides) under uncultured bacterium. Its description in RNAcentral is "partial 16S ribosomal RNA". It matches the Rfam family "Bacterial small subunit ribosomal RNA", at positions 524 to 776 of the family's 1533-position model. The record is from RNAcentral.